Hypanus sabinus (Atlantic stingray) is the source of this 3629-nucleotide RNA transcript. It is a transcript of the gene named ubiquitin specific peptidase 20, with no coding region annotated. Lineage: Eukaryota; Metazoa; Chordata; Chondrichthyes; Myliobatiformes; Dasyatidae. The record is from RefSeq and is a predicted model, not a curated record. The transcript is spliced from 26 exons.
GCGGGCACAAGCUUUUCCAAUAUGGCGGAGGUGCGACUUGGUUAGCGUUGAACCAAAAUAAUAGAGGGUGAGGAAAAGGGGGCGAUAGCGAUUACAGAGGGCUGGCGAAACAAGCAUCGAAGUUCUGCGCAAUGUCUAACGUGGCUGAUAUCUGUCCACAUUUGGAUUCCAUUGGAGAAAUCACGAGAGAGGAGCUGUUGCAAAAAUCAAAGGGAACAUGCCAAUCCUGUGGAGUUGGUGGACCAAACUUAUGGGCUUGCCUUCAAAAUGGCUGCUCCUAUGUAGGAUGUGGGGAAUCAUAUGUUGACCACAGCACGUUACAUUCACAGUCUAAGAAACAUAACCUGACAGUGAAUUUAACCACAUUCCGAAUUUGGUGUUACGCCUGUGAGAAGGAAGUUUUCCUGGAACAGCGACCUGUUUUACCCAGUCCAGCUCCAUCAAGCAGAUCAACAGAGCAGGACUCUGGCAUAUCACUUGGAAAUCAUCCAUUCAAAAUUGUUCCCAUUGCAGUUGCAGAUGAAGGAGAAUCUGAGUCUGAGGAUGAUGAGUUAAGACCAAGAGGGCUUACAGGAAUGAAGAACAUUGGAAACUCCUGCUACAUGAAUGCUGCACUGCAGGCUUUAUCCAACUGCCCACCACUCACCCAGUUCUUCUUGGAAUGUGUAGGUUUGGUUCGUACAGAUAAAAAGCCAGCUCUUUGUAAAAGCUAUCAGAAGCUUAUCUCUGAACUUUGGCAUAAAAAACGUCCUAGCUAUGUUGUUCCUACAAGUCUCGCCCAUGGCAUUAAGUUAAUUAAUCCAAUGUUCCGAGGUUAUGCACAGCAGGACACGCAGGAAUUCCUCCGGUGUUUGAUGGAUCAACUACAUGAAGAACUUAAGGAGCCCUUGAUAGAGAGAGACUGUGAUUCCUCAAGUGACACAGAGGAAAAGCGAGACGGCGACAGGAGUCCUUCAGAGGACGAAUUUCUAUCCUGUGAUUCUGGUGCCAGCAGCGAUAAAGGGGAAGGGGAAAACAGAAACAAAUGUAACUCUGACAAGCAGAUUGAAACAGAGCUGCUGAUCCAGGAUGAAUGUGGAAAAGGAAUUUCUGAAAAAGAGAGGCAAAAGGACAGAAAAUUUUCAUGUGGACACCACAGGCUGGGAUUAGUGGAUGCAAUCGAUGAAGAUGCAGAUGUGGAUACAUCUUUAAAUUCAAGUGAUCCUGGAGGUGCUGGUGAUGCCAGAGCUAGUAUGGUUUCUAAUAGUCCUUGCAGAACACCAGAACCUGACAAUGAUGUGAACAUGCGACGCACAUCACGAUCUUGCAGCCCUAUUCAUCAAGAACUUCAUUCCAAGUUGUCCAGCAGCCCACAUCGAUCGAGUCCAAUGAGGGCAGUGCCACCGUUUUCCCUGAAGAAAGCACAACUCCUGUUGUCUACCAAGAAGAAAAAGCAACCCAAGUAUCGCAGUGUAAUUUCUGAUAUCUUUGAUGGGUCGAUAUUGAGCCUGGUCCAGUGUCUCACCUGUGACAGAAUUUCGUCCACAGUGGAAACAUUUCAGGAUUUAUCUUUGCCAAUCCCUGGUAAAGAGGACCUGGCUAAACUGCAUGCAUCCAUUCACCAAACCUUGCCUGUAAAAAGUGGAACCUGCAGCGAUGCCUACACUACACAAGGAUGGGUGGCAUUCAUUAUGGAUUAUAUUAGAAGGUUUGUUGUGUCCUGUAUCCCAAGCUGGUUUUGGGGUCCUGUUGUGACAAUAGAAGAUUGUUUAGCUGCCUUUUUUGCUGCUGAUGAACUGAAAGGUGACAACAUGUACAGCUGUGAAAAAUGCAAAAAGUUAAGGAAUGGAGUCAAGUAUUGUAAAGUCCUUAAACUUCCAGAGAUUCUUUGUGUUCAUUUGAAACGCUUUCGCCAUGAAGUGAUGUAUUCCUUUAAAGUAAAUAGCCACGUGUCUUUCCCACUGGAAGGCCUCGAUCUUCGACCCUUCCUCUCAAAGGAGAGCCCUUCUCAAAUUACAACCUAUGAUCUUUUAUCAGUUAUCUGUCAUCACGGGACUGCAGGCAGUGGCCAUUAUAUAGCCUACUGCCAGAAUGUGAUUAAUGGUCAGUGGUACGAAUUUGAUGACCAGUAUGUCACUGAAGUCCAUGAGACAGUUGUACAGAAUGCUGAGGCUUAUGUCCUUUUCUACAGAAAGAGUAGUGAGGAAGCAGUGCGUGAGAGACAAAAGGUCGUAGCUUUGGCCAACUUGAAGGAACCCAGCCUCCUCCAAUUCUACAUCUCCAGAGAGUGGUUAAAUAAAUUUAACACCUUUACUGAACCAGGGCCAAUCACAAACCACACCUUCCUUUGUUUACAUGGAGGUAUUCCUCCAAAUAAAUACCAUUACAUUGAUGAUCUGGUAGUAAUUCUUCCCCAAAAUGUUUGGGAAUAUCUCUACAAUAGGUUUGGUGGUGGCCCUUCUGUGAACCAUUUAUACAUCUGUUCCAUUUGCCAAGUAGAAAUUGAGGCACUUGCUAAAAGGAGGAAAAUGGAAGUAGACACUUUUAUAAAGCUAAACAAAGCGUUCCAGGCUGAGGAAUCCCCCUGUGUUAUAUACUGCAUUAGUAUGCAGUGGUUCCGUGAAUGGGAAGGUUUUGUUAAAGGCAAAGACAAUGAGCCUCCUGGUCCAAUAGAUAAUAGCAAAAUUGCAGUCAUUAAAGGUGGCCAUGUCCAACUAAAACAAGGUGCAGAUUAUGGUCAGAUUUCUGAAGAAACGUGGAACUAUUUGUUUACUAUCUAUGGUGGUGGACCAGAAAUUGCCAUGCGGCAGAACAUUAUUCAAGCUGAUUUGGACAGCCCACAAGGAGAGAGGAAAAUAGAAGCCGAAACUCGUGCUGUGUGAUGAUAGAGCUGGCUUAAAGUAACCAGUUGAAAGGCUAUGAUACUGAGAUGAAGGUUGUGAAAACUGCAACUUUUGCACCUGUGAUGAAUCUUUAUUCCAUUUGCUUUCAUAAGAUCACUUGUGAAUGCUUUGAAACUGACGAUGUGUAAUCAGAGUGCGUAACUAAUUUAUCCCAAAUAUGUUGAGGAAAAUCCUCAAAGCUUUUUACAAAGUAUGCUGAAGUUUCUGAAGAUUUCACUAUGAUCGAAGUUUGCUACUCCAGCUAUAAAAUGGAAUGUGUAUUAUUUACAUUGGCCAGAUUUUGCUGAUUUUAAUAUCAUAACCUGCUACCUUGGCCCCAUUGUAAAAGUGGAAAUAAUCUGCUGUAACCUUUACCUUGUGUAGUGAUUGCAAAAUGGAUAUUUAAAUUAUUCUCACAAAUAUAAACCUAGUAUAGAGUUUCAUUAUUGCUUCAUAAGUAAUGCAGGUCUAAGUGCACACGAUAUUUAAAUAAAGUGAAAUAAGUGGCAUGAAUAGUUUUGUUUAAUUCCUUGUUUCUUUUUAUAUGCUUUGAACUAUAAAUAACAUGACUAAAUUUUAUCAAAAUUAUGAGAAUAGUUUUAGUUCAUUGUUAGCAUUUUCUCAAGUUUAUUACCCAUUAUUUUUGAUAUUCACAGAAAGUGCUGUUAUUCGAGCAUAACUGUUUUACCUGCUGCAUGCAUUUGCUGAUGGGCAGAUUGUUUUAAAUCCAUCUAUUCUAAUCAAUACAAUAAAUAUUGAUAAUUUGCA